CCCUUAGAUGUUCUGGGCCGCACGCGCGCUACACUGACGGAGGCAGCGAGCAUGUCCUUCGCCGAGAGGUGUGGGGAAUCUUGUGAGUCUCCGUCGUGCUGGGGAUAGAUGGUUGCAAUUGUCGAUCUUGAACGAGGAAUUCCUAGUAAGCGCGAGUCAUCAGCUCGCGCUGAUUACGUCCCUGCCCUUUGUACACACCGCCCGUCGCUACUACCGAUUGAAUCGUUUAGCGAGAAUUUUGGAUCGGAGCCCUGGUGGGCAGCGAUGUCCGCCUGGGAUUUACCGAGAAAUCAUUCCAGCUUGCCGAUUUAGAGGAAGUAAAAGUCGUAACA
Molecule: ribosomal RNA, 332 nt
Filed under: uncultured eukaryote
Lineage: Eukaryota
Description: partial 18S ribosomal RNA
Rfam family: Eukaryotic small subunit ribosomal RNA
Source: RNAcentral